CCUACGGUGUGCAGCAGUGAGGAAUAUUGGUCAAUGGUCGGGAGACUGAACCAGCCAAGCCGCGUGAGGGAGGAAGGUACAGAGUAUCGUAAACCUCUUUUGUCAGGGAACAAAGGCGGGGACGUGUCCCCGGAUGAGUGUACCUGAAGAAAAAGCAUCGGCUAACUCCGUGCCAGCAGCCGCGAUAAUACGGGGGAUGCGAGCUUUAACCGGAUUUAUUGGGUUUAAAGGGUGCGCAGGCGUUCUGUUACGUCACCGGUCAAAGCCCGGGGCUCAACCCCGCCCCGCCGUUGAAACUGGCAGUCUCGAGUUGGAGAGAAGUAUGCGGAAUGCGCGGUGUAGCGGUGAAAUGCAUAGAUAUCGCGCAGAACUCCGAUUGCGAAGGCAGCAUGCCGGCUCCACACUGACGCUGAGGCACGAAAGCGUGGGUAUCGAACAGGAUUAGAUACCCGAGUAGUC
Molecule: ribosomal RNA, 459 nt
Filed under: uncultured bacterium
Lineage: Bacteria
Description: partial 16S ribosomal RNA
Rfam family: Bacterial small subunit ribosomal RNA
Source: RNAcentral